Molecule: non-coding RNA, 1626 nt
Organism: Microcebus murinus (gray mouse lemur)
Lineage: Eukaryota; Metazoa; Chordata; Mammalia; Primates; Cheirogaleidae
Source: RefSeq, a predicted model, not a curated record
CCACCGGGUCACAUGGCUCGGAGCCGAGCAGAGGAUCAAAGGGGCUUUGUGGCCGCGGAACAAGGAGCCUCCCAGAGCGCAGAGCAGAGCCUCCAUCUGUCCCCCAGCUGUCUGGGCCCACGGGCCACUCCCAGGGCCACCACCCCACUCCAGUGCACGGCCGGCCUCCUCCAAGCCCGGCCUCCUUCCCCCCUCCGCCGGAUUCCUGACCUGGGAGGCGGCAGCAUGGGUGCUUUGCCAAGUGGCCGCCACUCUCACAAGUGCCCCCUGGCUAGUCACGGGCCGACGGGUCUCCAGACCACAGGAGAGGGAAUCCUGGGCCGGGCCACUACCCCCACACGGGGCUUCCGUCCGAGGCACUUCUCGGAGUCCCUGCCGCUCAGCCACACUCGGCACCGGGACCGCAGCCUGAAGCGUGCUCCCUGCCCCCCGAUCCACUGCGGCCACGGGUGUAACUGUGACUUUUCUAGCUGCCACAUUUAUAAAAUGCAGUGUCACCCGACAGGUGACAUUAACUUGAAUAUAUUUUACUUAACCUAAUAACAGCCAAAACAUUAUCUGUUCAACAUGCGAUCAAUGCAAAAGCGACGGAGAUGUCUUAGACUGUUUUCCCUUCGCUCGGGCUCUGCAACCCAGUGUGCACGUCACGCUCAGGGCACCUCUCGACUGGGACCAGCCACACUGCGAGGCUCAGCAGCACUUGUAGCCACUGGCUACUGUGUGGGACCCCACAGCCCUCGAUGUCAUCCCAGGAUCACACCAGAUCACCGGCAGCGCUGAUGUGGGCCGGGCUGUCACUUGAGCCUCCCAGAGGCUCCUCUCAGGCCACACUUAGGGGUGGACAGGACAUGGCUUGGUGAAACACAGUGCUGAGGCCACCGAUCCCUGCCUGCAUCAGUGCCCCCUUCCUGGGGACACCCCGGGCACAUUUCUCUCAGAUGUCACUAUGAGAAAGAGCACAGCUUCUCCUGAGACACCGACUUGCUAGACACCUGCUAAGCAUCACUCAGACUAUUCCAACGACAUCAGCCACUGCCGCUGCCAGCGCAUCCCUCUGCCUGGUGUCCCCAUCCACUUACCUGGCUCACAGGUGCUCAGGCUGGAAGAACCCCCGGCUCACAGGCAGCGGGCCUGGCUCGAAUGGGUGAGCUAGGCCACUGGAAUGUCCCCCAGGAGUGUGGAGUUAGGAACUUUUUUGGGGUGGCAGGCCCUGAAGCUUAGAGAUCCUGCAGGCUGGGGGCUGUGAAACUCUCUGGGGCCAUUUGCAACGAGGGCUACUCGGGUGGGGGCCCCAGAGCGGAGCAAGGCGAGGAGGAGAGUGUGGCCCGUCCACUCCUGCCCUUCCGGAGGCCUAGAUAACCAACUCAUCGUGCUGCUGUUUGUUUAUUUUAAAGUUGCACAGAAUUGCGCUUAAUUAAAAGAGAAUUUAUAGAGACACAGAAAGCACAGUGGUGGCUGCCAAGGCCUAGAGGAGGGAGGGUGAGGCUUCCUUUCGGGGCGAUGAAAAAGUCUGGCGCUAGACAGUGGUCAUGGUUGCACAGCUCUGCCAGUGUACGCAAGUGCCACUAAUUGUAUGUUAGUUGUAUGUUCUGUGUAUUUGAACACAAUAAAAAACAUUUAAAAAUG